Molecule: transfer RNA, 72 nt
Filed under: Heterocephalus glaber (naked mole-rat)
Lineage: Eukaryota; Metazoa; Chordata; Mammalia; Rodentia; Bathyergidae
Rfam family: tRNA
About the family: Transfer RNA (tRNA) molecules are approximately 80 nucleotides in length. Their secondary structure includes four short double-helical elements and three loops (D, anti-codon, and T loops). Further hydrogen bonds mediate the characteristic L-shaped molecular structure. tRNAs have two regions of fundamental functional importance: the anti-codon, which is responsible for specific mRNA codon recognition, and the 3' end, to which the tRNAs corresponding amino acid is attached (by aminoacyl-tRNA synthetases). tRNAs cope with the degeneracy of the genetic code in two manners: having more than one tRNA (with a specific anti-codon) for a particular amino acid; and 'wobble' base-pairing, i.e. permitting non-standard base-pairing at the 3rd anti-codon position.
Source: Rfam by way of RNAcentral
GGAGGCAUAGCUCAGUGGUAGAGCAUUUGCCUACCAUGUGUGAGGCCCUGGGUUUGAUCCUCAGCACUGCCA